Molecule: ribosomal RNA, 834 nt
Filed under: Bacillus sp. ISTS2
Lineage: Bacteria; Bacillati; Bacillota; Bacilli; Caryophanales; Bacillaceae
Description: bacterial SSU rRNA
Rfam family: Bacterial small subunit ribosomal RNA
Source: RNAcentral
UGACAGUCGAGCGGACAGAAGGGAGCUUGCUCCCGGAUGUUAGCGGCGGACGGGUGAGUAACACGUGGGUAACCUGCCUGUAAGACUGGGAUAACUCCGGGAAACCGGAGCUAAUACCGGAUAGUUCCUUGAACCGCAUGGUUCAAGGAUGAAAGACGGUUUCGGCUGUCACUUACAGAUGGACCCGCGGCGCAUUAGCUAGUUGGUGGGGUAAUGGCUCACCAAGGCGACGAUGCGUAGCCGACCUGAGAGGGUGAUCGGCCACACUGGGACUGAGACACGGCCCAGACUCCUACGGGAGGCAGCAGUAGGGAAUCUUCCGCAAUGGACGAAAGUCUGACGGAGCAACGCCGCGUGAGUGAUGAAGGUUUUCGGAUCGUAAAGCUCUGUUGUUAGGGAAGAACAAGUGCGAGAGUAACUGCUCGCACCUUGACGGUACCUAACCAGAAAGCCACGGCUAACUACGUGCCAGCAGCCGCGGUAAUACGUAUGUGGCAAGCGUUGUCCGGAAUUAUUGGGCGUAAAGGGCUCGCAGGCGGUUUCUUAAGUCUGAUGUGAAAGCCCCCGGCUCAACCGGGGAGGGUCAUUGGAAACUGGGAAACUUGAGUGCAGAAGAGGAGAGUGGAAUUCCACGUGUAGCGGUGAAAUGCGUAGAGAUGUGGAGGAACACCAGUGGCGAAGGCGACUCUCUGGUCUGUAACUGACGCUCAGGAGCGAAAGCGUGGGGGAGCGAACAGGAUUAGAUACCCUGGUACUCCACGCCGUAAACGAUGAGUGCUAAGUGUUAGGGGGUUUCCGCCCCUUAGUGCUGCAGCUAACGCAUUAAGCACUACG